GCUGAUGCCCUGCAGAGGACAGAGGACAGGAGGACAGACAAACAUGAAGACAAGAAGACACAAUUCUUUCUAUCAUAGCUGCUCCAGCUCCUCUCAUCCUCAACUGUUUCCUCAAAGGAGGAGGAGGUAAAAAAACAACCUCCCAUCAUGCACUGCUCCUCCAUUAACAGCCCUCAUACACUGAGUGCCGUGACCACGGGGGAAAUGAAAAGGGUUGGUUUGGAGCUGAGAGGACUGAGGAGGUCAUUACGUGCUGCGAGGUCAUUGGACGACGAUACCACAGACCCCGCCCCCUUCUUGAUGAGAUGCUGCAGUCACACCACUGCUCCGUCUUUAAUUUCACACCUCAGCUGGACUGUGACUGACACACACACACACACACACACACACACAGACUGCAGUGAGGUCAUCGAUCACAGCAGCAGACCUUCAAACCUCACAGAGAAAACCAGUGAUUUUAGCUGCUGGUCCUCUGCUGCC
Molecule: long non-coding RNA, 480 nt
Organism: Solea senegalensis (Senegalese sole)
Lineage: Eukaryota; Metazoa; Chordata; Actinopteri; Pleuronectiformes; Soleidae
Exons: 3
Source: RefSeq, a predicted model, not a curated record